ACUUUCUUGAUCCGAGCAGUGGCAUUUUUCCUCUAGCCACAACUCACUAUUCACUAAUUCUUCCCCGUCAAGCCUACUCAAAUCUUUUCCCGAACUUCAUAAUCGUCAUGAACGGUCAGAUAGCCCAAAUUCAGGUUCCGAACAAGGUUAUCAAAAGUAACACUAUUACAAUGUCAAAUAAUUAAAAAAUAUUACUCUUUGAAGACUUUGAGUCUCCAGCAUGCAAUAGUCCACGUGGCAAUUUCUAAUCCACAAUUGCACAAAACUCUUGAAAGCAUAUGUCCAGACUUUUUAGAGAUUUGUACCACGUUCAACAAUUUCUACAAGAACCCAAUUUUUUCCUCGCUUACACUCUUCCUAUCCUUCUGGGUUUUGUGUGUGUGAAAGAGGACCGAAAUUUUAUUAAUAACUUUAUUGCUGACUUGGGAGUAUUUUAUUAUUUUUUAUUUUUUUCCCCCUUGAAUAGAAUCAUUGUGUUAAGUUCACCUCUCAUGGAUUUUGGGGUUAAAAGGUAUGUGUGUCUCCCUUUAUUGAAUUAUUUAAUGGGAUUUAUCUCUUGUUUGAAGAAUUGUGUUUAUAUAUUUAGUUUUAGUUUUCCACUUUCUCCUAUAUGAUUUGAUGAAGUUGGAGAAAUUUUUAUAUAUACGCUUAAUCACUUUAUCAUGUAUCUGAAACUUGUGAAUACAUCUUGCUGUUUGAAGUCAUAGAAAUGGUCUAGCUGGCUAGGCAAAACAAUAGAAUAAUUUGAGUAUUUUGUGCAUGUUCUUGGAAGACAUUCGAGAUAAUAGGAUUUAUAGGUUGUAUAUUAAGCUCAUAGGGUCGUGUCAUGAAAUUUUGGGAGGGGUUUUGAAGAUACAGUAAGGUGUAAUUCAAAGGUUUGCAGAAAUUAAAUUCGGCUCUAUGCUAGGAAGAUAUUUAUGAUUGUAGGAGAUUUAUGGAGAAGGAGAUGAUUUUUAUAUGAUGGGUACUGGAAAUAGAGAUAUUUCUAUUGGAUGGAUAAAGAUUAUUAAGGAUAUGUAUUGUAAGAUGUAGUGGCAAUACUAGUAGCAAAUUUCCUGGUACUAUUUGCCUGCUUUUACUUCCUUAUUGCUUUAUGUGAGAUGAGAUUGUUAUACAUACAAAAUAACGCCCCACGGUGUUUGUUAUGUGGUGACAACAUAGUUCUCGUGAUAAGAGUAUGGAAGGGGGUGAAUAGUCCUCGUAAUGAGAGUAUGGAAGGGGGUGAUUUUUGAAAUAGUACUUUGGAAGUUAAAAGUUUUAAAUUUAGUGAUCUAUUGCGUUGUACGGACACUUCAACUAGGUGAUGUGUUCGUGCAUAACGCAUGUUGGAUACUCACACUACUUAAACACUCUACUAUGAUAAUUUUUCUUUCUAUUAUAUCCAGCUCAUCAAAUGUUCCCAAAUGUCCUUUCUUUAUUAAAAACAUAUAGCCUCAUAUAAAGAAUAAUAAUUCAUCCUUUCCAUUUGGCUUUAAAUCUCUUGAAAGCUUGGAUUUGAAUUGACAACUUCAGUUGCCCUAGUUGUUAUUAAAUAAUAAUAGCAUAUAUUUUUAAAAGAUUCGGCCUUUGAAAACUCCAGAAUUUGAAAUAUUAUAUAUUUUUAAUUCAAAAUUAUUAUUAAAUAAUAAAUAAAUACUCAUAUUUAAAAGAUUUUAGCAAGAAAAAUUAAUAAAAGGUACAAAAUUAAUUUAUACCAUAUAAAUUUUAUUUUAUUUAUUUAAUUUUUUUUUUCUUUGAAAAUUAAAUCAGUGUGUCGUGUUGAUGCAUCAUAGGUGAUCUAAGAUGAAAUACAUGGAAUGUCCUUUUAAUUGGAAGAAAUGGAUAGGUGCUACGUCUAGGGGUGUCAAUGCGAGCCGGCUCGGGCUCGCCAUGAGCCGAGUUCGUGCUCAUUUUGAAACGAGCCGAGCUCUGCUCGUCCAAAAAUGGGCAGGCCGAGCCCGGCUCGCUAGCACAUGUUUUUUUUUUGUGUGGAAACAAAUAGGUAAAUUGGAAAAUACAAAAGUAAUUUUAAUUUUUAAAUUGUGAAUUUUUUAUAGAAAAAAUUUAUAUAUAUAAAAAACUAGGUAAAAAAUUUAAACUCUCCUCUUUUAUCCGGGCUUGGGACCGGUUACUUAAAUUUAGAGUAGGAGGAGUUAAAAAUUGUGUUGUUUGUUUGUUUGUUCGUGUACAAUUUUUUAAAGAAAAUUUAAAACAGUAUUAAAAAUUAUUUUUUCAAGCAACACUGCGCGUCCGCUUGCAUAUAUUCUUUGAAAUAAAUCCCUUCUAAAAAUUGAAAGGGUAAUCGAAUGCCCUUUCAAUUGUCAGAAGUCUUCACUUCAAAAAUUAUAUAGAAGUCUUUCACUUCAAAAGUUAUAUAUAAUCUUCGAAGUGAAAAACUUCUGACAAUUGAAAGGGCAAUUAUUCGAUUACCCUUUUAAUUUUCAAAAAGAAUUUACUUCGAAAAUUAUAUGCAAAGGUACGCACAGCGUUGUUCGAGAAAAGAAUUUAAAAUGUAGACAUAUAGUAUUAAUAGUACUAAGUACUAACAAAAAUUUAACUUAAUUGGUGGAAAGAAUUUUUUUUUUUUUUUUUAACUAAAAGAGAAAAAAAAUAAAAAUGAAAUCUUUAUUUUUUUUAUUUUUCUUUUUAAAAUAGAUAAAAUAUAAACCCUCCUCUUUUAUCCGGGUUUGGGACCGGUUACUUAAAUUUUCAGUAGGUUGAGUUAAAAAUUGUACACGAACAAUUUAUUGUAGCGUGUACAAUUUUUUAAAGAAAAUUAAAAGUAACGAUAAGAAAAGAAAAGUUUCAUUAAUAUAAUUAAAUCAAAUAUCGCUUACUUGACGACAUAUAAUUUCGACAUAUUUAUCUUGUAGUUAAAAAUGAGCGUCUUGCCAAUCCUUAACGCACAUUAACGCUUCUAAAAUAUCUUUUUUCAGUCAGCUCCUAACUUUGCUCAAAACUCUUUUACCUGCACUAAAUGCAAACUUCGAAGCAACAGUGCUAAUUGGAGGUGUCAGCAGAUCUUUUGCAAUCGCAAAUAUAAUUGGCCUACGUUGUUCAUACCUUGGCCAGAAUUCAAUUACUUCGUCUGAACUUUUUUAAUUGUUUUAUUUGUUGGCAUAUUCUGGUUGAAAUAAUCAAUUAAUUUAGCAGGCAAUGAAUUAUGGCUUGAGCCCGAAGAUGUUUGAUGAGAAUGAGAUACAGAUGGUGACGACAUGGCAGUGGCAGUAGAUGAACACAUUGUAGAUAAACCAUAUCUAUACGAAUUAAUGUCUUGAAAUAAAUUGAAUAUUUUCGCAUCUUUUUCAAUAUCAACGGAAGGAACAGAUGCAAAUGGUACCUAACUAAUAUUGGUACCCAUUCGGUUCGCAUAUAAUUCAUACAUUUCACAUAAUGUUUGCUCUAAAUUUCUAUAUGUGAUAGGUGUAUCAAAUGUUAAGAAGUUUGAAAUUUGAUCAAUUAUAUAUUUAGUUCCCGAUAAAUUAUAUUGGGGGUCCAUCACGCAUGCUAAAGAAAAUAACAUACGCAAGUCUUCCCAAUAUUUUCUAAAUUUUAAUUCCAUAGCAAUUAUAAUUUCACUAAAAUCAGGGUCAUUUUUGUAUUUAUUAAAUGUUCUUACAAUUAUAUAAAGACGUUCAAGCACCAUAUAGCUGGUGAGAUAGUAAACGCUUGAUAAAAUUUUAGUGAUUUCAUAAAAAGAUGCCAAAAAUAUUUUAAUUUUUAAAGCUAUUUGCCAAUCAUGUUCAGUCAACAUACCCUCGUCAUCACUUCUAACAUGUCUAUUGUUAUAAAAGUCAGUUAUUAAAUGUUCAAAACCUUCACAUGACUUUAAUAACAAGUAGAGUUCCACUUAUGACCUACGUCGCUACCAAAUGUUUUAGCAUUUUGCACUCCUAUUUCGGCACAAUAAUCCUCAAAUGCUUGUUUUCUACUUGGGGAGAUUGUGAUAUAUAUUAGUUCAUUUCUAAUAUUUUAAAGUUCAUCCUUUAUAUGUUUUAAAUCAUUUUGGACAAUUAAAUUUAAAAUAUGACAUACACAACGAAUAUGAAACAAAUACCCACCAAAAUUAGGUUGCAGUACCCUAUGCAAUUUAUCGGCAACUACUUUAUUAACAUUAGCAUUAUCGAAAGUAAAUGAACGAAUUUUGCUUACGCAAUGAUAUUUUCUAACAAUACUAAUAAUAGCAUUAAAUAUAUUAUUAGCAUUAUGAGAAAACUUAAUAAUUCUAAAAGCAAUAAUUUUUUUAUGCAUGCACCAAAGUGGAUCUAUAUAAUGUUCAGUUGCAGUUAUAUAUGCUCUUUUAUUAAUCUCUUCCCAUAUAUCCGAAGUUAAAGAUAUGACACCCCUCAUAUUUUUGCAAAUCCAUAAUUAAUUAUUAUUUUGUUUCAGUAAAAUAUUAUAUUGUAUCGGAACGAAGAGUGUUUCGACUUACCUCAACGUACCUUGACUGCAGAUAUUCUUUCACAUACCAGACGUAGUGUUGGUUGUCAAUUAAUACCAAAGGCAACUCAGCACCAGCAACAAGCUUUACCAUUCUGGUUCAAGCUCUCUCCUCCGAAUACACCCAUGUGGAUAGGAGUGCAGCAGAACCACCGGCGUAUGGACUGCCAAAUUGCAAUUGUGUUUGACAACCUGGAAUAAGUCCGUGUUUGGCCGCACAUACUUUUUAAUGGCGGUUGAGAUGGUGGUACCAAUUCCUCUUUGCCAUGCCAAUCUUUGUUGGUAGUAUUUACAAACUGCUUUGGAUUCUAGGACUCCAUUGAAGAUUUUUUUCGUUGAAAUCAACUUAAAAUGAUCCCAACAUUUUGCUUGUUUUUUCCCUUUCGCUUUCCCCUCGCAUCAGGAAUGUUUAAUUCAGCAUCUUCUUCCUGAUCGUGUUCCGCUUCGGGAAUGUCAACAUCAUCCAAAUUAAUUGGAUAAUUUGGAUUGUCGCUUACAUGAUGAUGAAGAUCCAAAUUUGGAAUAUCUUCAAGUAGGGGUACGUUAUUUAGACCUUCAAAUUGAUUUCGAAAUUGACUUUGCGGUGUCAUAGGCGAUUCGUUUCCUCCCACACCGAACAAGUUUUCGACAAAUGUGCG
Molecule: long non-coding RNA, 5057 nt
Filed under: Olea europaea subsp. europaea
Lineage: Eukaryota; Viridiplantae; Streptophyta; Magnoliopsida; Lamiales; Oleaceae
Source: RNAcentral